RNAcentral lists this ribosomal RNA (339 nucleotides) under uncultured Eubacterium sp. Its description in RNAcentral is "bacterial SSU rRNA". It matches the Rfam family "Bacterial small subunit ribosomal RNA", at positions 21 to 358 of the family's 1533-position model. Lineage: Bacteria; Bacillati; Bacillota; Clostridia; Eubacteriales; Eubacteriaceae. The record is from RNAcentral.
GGCUCAGGACGAACGCUGGCGGCGCGCCUAACACAUGCAAGUCGAACGGUGAAGAGGAGCUUGCUCCUCGGAUCAGUGGCGGACGGGUGAGUAACACGUGAGCAACCUGGCUCUAAGAGGGGGACAACAGUUGGAAACGACUGCUAAUACCGCAUAACGUAUCGGGAUGGCAUCUUCCUGAUACCAAAGAUUUUAUCGCUUAGAGAUGGGCUCGCGUCUGAUUAGAUAGUUGGCGGGGUAACGGCCCACCAAGUCGACGAUCAGUAGCCGGACUGAGAGGUUGAACGGCCACAUUGGGACUGAGACACGGCCCAGACUCCUACGGGAGGCAGCAGUAGG